UGGGGAAUCUUGCACAAUGGGCGAAAGCCUGAUGCAGCGACGCCGCGUGAGGGAUGAAGGCCCUAGGGUUGUAAACCUCUUUCAGCAGGGACGAAGCGAAAGUGACGGUACCUGCAGAAGAAGCCCCGGCUAACUACGUGCCAGCAGCCGCGGUAAUACGUAGGGGGCGAGCGUUGUCCGGAUUUAUUGGGCGUAAAGAGCGCGUAGGUGGUUUGUAAAGUCGGAUGUGAAAGUCCAGGGCUCAACCCUGGGAUGCCAUUCGAUACUUGCAAACUAGAGCAUGGUAGGGGGAUCUGGAAUUCCUGGUGUAGCGGUGAAAUGCGCAGAUAUCAGGAGGAACACCGGUGGCGAAGGCGGGAUCCUGGGCCAUUGCUGACACUGAGGCGCGAAAGCUGGGGGAGCGAACAGG
This 409-nucleotide ribosomal RNA is filed under the name uncultured bacterium. Its description in RNAcentral is "bacterial SSU rRNA". It matches the Rfam family "Bacterial small subunit ribosomal RNA", at positions 355 to 776 of the family's 1533-position model. The record is from RNAcentral.